Molecule: non-coding RNA, 26 nt
Filed under: Rattus norvegicus (Norway rat)
Lineage: Eukaryota; Metazoa; Chordata; Mammalia; Rodentia; Muridae
Source: RNAcentral
UGUUAGAAGGCAUUUGAAAGUGAAUU